UUUCAUCUGCUGCCGAAGUGAAGGAAGAAAGAAAAUAAGAAAAAAAUCAAGAAAAAUUCAUAGAAAAAGAUUUCUAGCUCGGUCUUUCGUGUUCUAUAGCUUGUUGGAAAGAUCUCUUCAAGACCUUUAAUUCAAGAGGUAUGUUUCUUAAAUUCGUAAUCAUUAACGUGUUCAAAAAGAGGGUUGAUUAUAGCUAUGAUUAGUGAUGUUCUUGGUGGAAGAAUUUCAAUAAAUCUUAAGAUAAUUACUAGGAGGUUAUGGUGUUAUAAUAAGCAUGUUUACAUGUUUGGAUUAUUGUUUAAGCUUGUAAAGUUGUUGUUCUUGAUUGGGUUUGAAAGGAUGAUCUGAUAUGAGUAUGAUAUGAUGAUUUGAAGGUUAUAUAAUUGUUUGGGUUGAUGAUUAAUAUGAGUUUAAUCAUGGAAAUGUUAAGAUUAUAGCUGUUACCAUGCCCGAGUUAAUAUAACAGCCGCUGUUACUGUUCAUCGGAACAGUUUAGUUUCGAAUUUAAGAGGGUUUUUUUAUAUGGCUGGAUAGAGUUUGGUUAGUAGAUCGCGUGAGCGCUUGAAUCAUGCAAAACGGAUUUACGGUUUAGAAGUUAUGGCCAUUUUAGUACAGGACGCGCAGAAUCCUAGUUCCCGUAAGAAAUGAACUUCGAGGUUACAAUUUGACGAGUUCAAAGAUGAUAUAAAUCAUGGAAUAAUUUGAGUAAAUACCCGGGACAAAUUGGGAGGUAUACGAGUUGGGUUCAUAAGAAAAACUCGAAUGGUUUAUUAGUGAAAAAUGUCGGAACCUAAAGGUAUAUAUAUUAACAAUAGGUGAGACAAGAAACAGUUAGUGUCAAAUCUCUUUUAAAUGAAAGGAUUAACAAUAAGAGUAAUUAGAGAGGACUUUAAGGGUAGGUAACAUGUACACACACUAUGAUAUAAAGUUAUAAAGGAUCUUAAUGGUUAAUUGUGUCCUAUAUAGGUGCACAGAAAAGUGCAGAAGGACCUUAAGGACAGGAAGUUGUGAUUGAGUUGCUGAAGUAAGGUGAGUAUACAUCAACACUACUUAUAUCUGUGUGAUAUGUGAUUACGUGCUCCUAUAUGCUGAAAGUGAUAUAUUAGAAUACUAAUGUGACUAUGUGAUUCUAUACAUGACUGAAGUUCCUUGAUGUCAAUGUAAUGUCAUGAUAUAUCGAAGUACAGGUAUAUAUGAAAUGUGUAUUGACCUGUGAUUUCACAAAUGGUGCAUUGGCAUAGAGUCUGCAUAUAGAACAGAUCAUAUGCACAUCUUACAUUCAUUGGACAGUGAUAACUUAAAAAGUCAAAGUGACAGUCACUUGUGUAAUGGCCACCUUUAUAUAUGGAACCAACGGGUAAUUACGGAGCAGACUAUAUGUCAGCCAUAGACGGGGCCGACUUAUGUCGGACAUAGACGGAGCCGAUUUCCAUAGUCGGACAUAGACGGAGCUGGCCAGACACACAUGGAUCCUUUGAGGACAUGUGGAAACACGGGCAUUAUACAGUGAACUGUUCACAAUAGCAAAAGAAAGAGAACCGGAGAUGCAUGCAUGCAUAGAUACAAGUUCAUACUUUCAUGGCAUAUAUGAUUAACAUAUGUCAGUGAUUUAUGAUUAAGUAAAACAUAUAUGUGAUGACGUUAUAUCUUGGUGUAAUUUGGGAUGAUGAUAAUAUUAUGAAUGAAAGAUAUUAAUUGCUCUCAUAAAUACUAACAGGAAAUAUAUAUUAAAAUGAAUAUUUUCUUACAAUUGUUUCGAGAACCUUACUUUCUUUUAUUUUCUGGAAGAUUUUACAAAGACGCUAUAAGUUAUUUUCAGACAAUCUCAGUAUCUUUUACAAACUAAAGUUGAUGUAUAUUCAUUGAGUUGCGACUCAUGGAAAUCGCUCAUUUUUCCAGGAUAUGAAUAGUUAGUAGAGUGUUUUUGUAUGAGUGCUCAGUGGAGAUUGUAGAUAGUGCCUAAGAGACGGUGGUCCAGCAGGAUGCUCCAGACUCCUCCAUCAGCCGAUGCACAUAAAUGUAGUUUGAGAGAUUGUAUUUAUGUACUCUAGACUUACUAAGUGUGCAAGAAAAUCAUGAAGACAGAUUUAUAUUUAAAUUCUGAAUAUGUGUGGUGAAUAUGGAUGAUGGAAAUGUAUUGAAAUGUUAUGUUGCUUGGUAAAUGUUGUUGAAGUAGUUGAGAUUUUAUGUUCUGGUGAAGAUCAAGAUAUAGCCAAGCGAUAGCUGAAGAUUAUGUUAUCCACUUAUACAGGAAAUGAUAUUUCAUAAUAUUAUUAAAUAAGAUGAUUUAGUCCGAAAUGCAUGAAUGAUUAUAUGGUAUAAGGGUGUUACAAAGACUGCGAGAAAACUGCUUUCAUCACUCAUAGAGGAGUAUACUGCUACAAGGUCAUGCCUUUCGGUCUCAUCAACGCGGGCGCCACCUACCAACGCAUGAUGAAUAAGAUCUUCGCACCGCAAUUAGGACGCAACAUGGAAGUCUAUGUCGAUGACAUGAUUGUCAAAUCUAUGCUCCAAGAGACGCACUUGACCGACCUGCGAGAAUGCUUCGCAAACCUCAGAAAACACAACAUGAAACUUAACCCCGACAAAUGCACUUUCGCCCUGGGAGCGGGAAAAUUCUUGGGUUUCCUGGUGAGCCAGCGCGGGAUCGAGGCCAGCCCGGAAAAAAUCCAGGCCGUCAUUGACAUGCAGCCCCCAAAAACCAUCAAGGACGUUCAACGCCUCACGGGGCGCCUCGCAGCAUUGCGACGGUUUAUAUCCAAGCUUGCGGAACGAUGCCUCCCUUUCUUCGACACCCUCAAAGGAGCACUCAAAACCAAAAAGCUCACAUGGACAGAGGAAUGCCAAAAGGCCUUUGAGGACCUCAAGACAUACCUGGCAUCCGCGCCACUCUUGACGACCGCGUCCCCUAGCGAACCAUUGUCACUAUAUCUGGCAGUUUCUGACAAAACGGUGGGCGCAGUGCUUAUUAAGGAAGCAGAAACGGUGCAAAGACCAGUUUACUAUGUCAGCCAAACACUAAAGGACGCAGAAACCCGCUACCCCAAUGCAGAGAAAACAGCCCUAGCCCUUGUCAUGGCAAGCAGGAAGCUUCGUCACUAUUUCCAAGGGCGAGAGAUACGGGUCGUCACGAAUCAACCCUUGCGCAAAAUCCUCCACAAGCCUGAGCUGUCAGGACGACUUAUUAACUGGGCGAUCGAGCUCAGCCAAUUCCACCUCACUUAUAUCCCGAGAACCGCAAUCAAAGCACAGGCCCUGGCAGACUUCGUCGUGGAGUGUAACUUUGCUAAACCAGACGAGGAGGCACCGGACAACCAAAAACCCCUCCCGGUAGCGGAAGGGUGGAAGCUUUACGUGGACGGCUCCGCCACCAACACCAGAUGCGGAGCCGGGGCAAUACUCAUUAGCCCGGAUGGUUUUUGUAUAAAACAAGCCCUUCAGCUCAACUUCAAGGCCACCAACAACCAGGCGGAGUAUGAGGCCCUGCUCUCAGGUUUAGACCUCGCCCUAACUCUGCAACUGCAAAAUCUUACCAUAUACAGCGACUCCCAGCCCAAAUCCACACACAAGUCAACCGCCAUUGUACGGCAAAUUACAAUCCCAAAAGAAUAAGUUCAAAUAGUCUAACCAGCCAAGUUCAAACGUAACUUAAAAAGCAACAGUUUAGAGACAAAGGAGUUAAAUGGUGGGGGUCUCGGUCGAGUCAUCAAUAAGCUCUUCAUCUCCCUCCGGGGUGGCAGCCUCGGUCCCGGGUUGCUUCUCUGCAUCAGCCAUGACCGUGUCCGGGUUUUCCCUUUCCUCAGCUGCGGAGCGGGAAACCUCUGUUUCCUCCGCCGCGGGAUUCUCAUCCACGGUUCCCAAAGGUUUUGGACUCUUUGUCCCAGCACUACCUCCAGAGCUGCCACCCGCGCUCUCAAGCUCCUUCACCCGGUCAGCAAGCUUUUUGUUCUUCUUCUUCCUCUUGUGUGCCUUAGACUUUGCUUUCUUCAAGGAAGAUGCCAGAUCCGCUACCCGCUUCUCCAAAGCGUCAACACCGGAAGAAGAACCACACGCGCCCGCAACUAAGCUCAAAUACUCUGCACUUUCUUUCACAGAAGAGACUCCCUCUUCAAAAGCUUUGGCCAAGGCAGCCCGAUAUUCAACACUAGCCUGAUAUUUCCGGAUGGCCAUCUCCUCAGUGGGUCGCGACGCAACCAUAGCUUCAGCUUCUUCGGCACGCUUGCGCAGCUCGGUGAAAGUCCGCUCCGAGGCCGCCUCCUUCCCCUCCCAAAAAAGCCUUUGGGUCUCCAACUCCUUGUCCACAAGGCCCCUUCGAUCCGAAAGCACCUGCCAGUCAGCUUUGAGAGUCUCCAUCUCUUGGGCAAGUUCUUUCUUUUGAUCCUCGACUGCAUGGAAGUUCUCCACCAAGGUCUUCUUUUGACCUUCAAGAUCAGCAACCUGCUUCCGCAGUGCAAUGUUGUCCUGGCGGAACAUUUCUCCCCGGGUGCUUAACGCCAAGUCAUACCCUCGAGCCUGCAACAACCAUCAGAAAACAUAUCACAACCCACAUACACAAAAUUAAACGCUAAGUACAAAAGCAACUGCACAAACACAUACCUUCCUGUGAUGGAGCUCGGAACGACGCACCAGCUUUUUCCAUCCCAACCCAUCCAACUUUUCAAAAUCAUCCUCAGUGAGGCCAACCUGUCCUGGUGGCCCGGCUCCAAACAAAUUACCUCGCCCCACACGGCGGGCAUCCACAGGUCCCACCUCAUCUUCGGUCCCGGACGCAUCCCCAGCACUGACACCCGCCAUCAAAUCCACGUUGCCGCGGCGCUUCACGCGACGCCCAAUCUGGGCACUCAAGGUCAACUUCCGACCACUGCCAGCACUGCGAACCCGCUUUCUCCGCCUGGGAACUUCGGGAGUCCGUCCCUCUGUUGUCAGGUUCUCCAGCAUCAAUACAGUCGACGACCCGCCGACCUCAACAACUUCUUUCUCUCCAGCUGCACGGGACGAUCCCGCCUCCACAACUUUCCCGCCAGCCUGUACACUGACCUCAGUUUCACCCUCCCCGCCAAGACCAUCGUCAAACUCGCCCGCGGUGGUAUGACCGCCACCUUCUCUUUCUUCGCUGUCCGCAAUCUCAUGGAUCUCAGGACUCCUCUCAACGUCCUCCUCAUCAUCAUCUGCAUCCCCAAACACACCUUGGUUUUCCACCUCCUCACUUGGCACAUUUUCUUCCUGCUCAGUCGCGGGUUCCGGUUCAUCCCUCAAGAGCAGCACGCGGCCUCGGGACGCCGUCCCCGAGGUAGAGGCACCAAUGGCCGUUCCCGCAGGUUGCACCACCGCCCCCCGUGUCGCCCUAGCAGCCGCGCGUCCCGCUCGGCUUUGCGCCGGCGUGCGUCGCCUUGCCUGCGACCGCCCUUCACCUUCAACCCGGGCAGCACCCCUAUACCUGGGGGGAUUUCGGUUUAGCAGGCCCGUGAGCAAUUUUAUCUCUUCUUCAUCAGUCAUGCCCUCCAAGGGCGGCAACUCCGUCAAUCGCGGGUCCAGGACUGCAAGUUCAAGCAACAUAUCACAACACUAUAAAGCCAAAAACCCACCAAACACAAAGCAAACUCCCCCCACAUUUAGUAAAGUCAAAAACUUACGCAGGUAUAGUUGCAGCCUCCCGUUCUCAAAGAAUGCAUUCUUGGUCCAGGUACUCCCCAACGCCUUCGUAAUACCAACCAGUAUCUCCACGUCAACCGCGGACAAUUGAUCCCGCGGCGCGCGAUAACUCUUCUCUACUUUCCGGGCCAUAUUAGGCAUCCACGCCAGUUCGCCACCCGCCACCACCAGAAACUCAUACUGCCAGUCCGUCAUGCUAUUCGGAAAAUCAAAGGGCAUAUAGUCCACAAGCUCUCUGCCAAUCACGCUGCUCUUAUUGGCAAAAGGCAACUCCACAAACGGCUUGGCCGUGCUCGUCUUGAUGUUAAACAGGUGAAAAAAGGCCUUAAAGGUAGGCUGCUUCCCCAGAGCGGUGCAACUCGCUAUAAACCAGUUAAUAGCCCGGAUCGCGUUGGGCGUGAUCUGCGAGAUAGAGCACUUCAAAUGCACGCAGACAAGGUCCCACAUAAAGCGAUGCAUCGGGAACCUCAAGCCCGCCUUCAGCUGUUCGAGGGUCACGCAUAUGGACCCGCCAGCACCACGAUGAUGCAACCUCUCCUCUUCCCGGGCAGGCCUCCAGCUAUAGUCACUCCCAAACCUAAACAGCUUCGCCAUGUAUGGCCCAUACUCCGCCACAUUGAACGUACUCCUCCUCUGGAGAUGAUCACAGCCUGCCAGUUCUUGCUCCACCUUGGCAUUGUUUAUCUCCACUGGGCGUAUCUUGAAGGUCCGGUAGAAACUACUCUGAUCCUCAAAAAACCUGUAAUGCAGGUCUUUCGGCGGGAGUGGAAUAGUAAACCGCGGAAAAUCCCGCCAUCGACCAGACAAACUAAUCAGCGGCCUUGCCUCCCGCGUCACGGGAUCAAAACAAUCUUCCCCGGGCAUGGCAGCCAUUUCUUCUUCAGUACCCGGAUGAAUAGCUUCCAGACGCACCUCUUCAGCCACAGCAGUCAUCAAUUACCUGCAAGAUGGCCACACAGAGAACAGCCCGUUACAAACAUCGCCUCCAUCCCGUCAACAUUAGCGGCAUACAAAUCAAAGACAAAAACACGUUUCACAACACAACCCCUUUGCGUUACCCGCGACCCCCAUACAAACAUAUUAUCAAACACCUACAGUACAAACACGUGCAACCGCCGCAUAUUACAAACCUUAAAACUUCAACCUAACCCUAAUGGUGCACAACCCGAGACAACAAUCCCGAGGUCGCUACACCGCCAUCAGACCGCAAACGCCACCGUGCGGACGGCAGCCAUGGCGACGAAAGCUCCACUACUACCACCACAAAUCAAAGACGAAAACACAGACAUUCAGGCAUUUCAAAAAACUGAAAGACAAGCCCUAAAACACCGAUCUACCCACACUACGGCGCAACAACACGAUUACGACACUUAUAUACGCCGGCGAGCAACCAAAUACACAAAACACAGUAAGAGCGGCAGCAAACACGAUGAACAAAGCAAAGUCUAAAAACAUCAGCAAACUACGACUCAGCAACAACAUCAAGAGAAAAGACAAGCAUAAACUUAAAGGAUCGCCGGCGACGCUUACUUGUUAACGGAAAUGACAAAGAGAACGGUUGCACUUUACUCCCCUGAACGAUCUCUCGCAACUUACAGGUGAAAAAGCGGAGCACUUCGAAAAAACUAAAGCUUCAGACAAAUAUACUCAGAACUGGUUUUUAAGACAUACAUAUAUACCCCCACAGUUACCAAGAGGUGCAUUAACUGCAUGGCCACGUGCACACACACGAUUGGCUCAAAAACUGCACCAUCACACCCACCCCUCCUCAAAAGCCGCAUAAACCGUACUUCAUCCCCAAAAAACCCCCAACUUCGAAAACCGGUGNCCACAACAUUCUCGCAUUCAAUUUUAUUCCACAUUUAUUACUCAAUUUAUUACCAGUCAUAAAUUGGUCGAAGACAAAAAACAUAAAUACAAGCAAGCCAAAAGCCCGCGGGAAAGCAAAACACUUCACAUAUAUAUAUCAAGGUUCUUUUUAAUACAAGCCAAAGCGGACUCAGUCCGCGACAAAGAAGCCCUAUUUCUACAGCUGAGCCUCCAAAUCCGCAAUGCGGGCUUGGACAUCCUCUAAUCGCUCCUGCAGCUCGUCCCUCUCUUCCCGGGCCGCAGUCAGCCUCUCCGCCACCGUAGCCUCCGGCACGGGUUCCGGCCGAUCAAUGGGCACAUACCACCGCCCAUUGAUCUGCACCGCCGCUCGCCCGCGUCCCGGGACCAGCAUCCUCUCAUACACCUCCUCAAGGAGAUCGUCAUAGGGAAGACCAUCUUCCAACAUAUCAGCCAACCUCCUAGCAAAAGGAUCAGUAGGCAAAUCGUUGAACAGGGUAAGAAGUUCGACCCUCCUCAUCCAACGCAUCUGCGUCCCAUAGCUCCCACUGGACACAUCACUCCCGUUGCUCACAGAUGCCGAAGAAUUAUCAGACAUUUUUUACAGAACUUUCACAGGAAAAAGAACGAUUUGACGAUUAGAAGAGAAGAAAGAAGAUGAACGCACAGAUGAAGUGCACAAAUGAACUUCUCUAGCCCUUGAUUAGUCCAUAUUUUUGCAUAUUUAAGUGCCUAUUUUUUGUUUAUUUUCGUAGUAUUAAUCGCUUAUUUAUUUUAUUUCAGGAAAUUGUAGAUAAAUAAAGAAAGAAGAAUAAUUGCAAAAAAAGGGGAAGAAAAAGAAAAGAAAAGAAGAAAAAAGAGAGUUGGCAAGUAAGGGGGCACAUGGAGGGCUAUGAUCUACCCAACACACAAGGCACAUGGAUGGUCAAGAUUUAGCCACCCUACCCCUAAACCCUAAAUCUUUAGCUAUAAAUACCCCACCUUUUUACUUGUAAUCAUCAUCUUUUUAACCUAGUCUUUUCCUAGUUGGUAGGUAGUAUAGUACUAGAUCUUCUUUUGUUCUCUCAAUUUCAUACCAUAUUUG
RNAcentral lists this long non-coding RNA (8563 nucleotides) under Daucus carota (carrot). Its description in RNAcentral is "long non-coding RNA (DCAR_LNC007281)". Lineage: Eukaryota; Viridiplantae; Streptophyta; Magnoliopsida; Apiales; Apiaceae. The record is from RNAcentral.